AUAAGGUUAAGUUAAUAAGGGCGCACGGUGGAUGCCUUGGCACUAGGAGCCGAAGAAGGACGUGACAAACGACGAUAUGCCUUGGGUAGCUGUAAGUAAGCGAUGAUCCAGGGAUUUCCGAAUGGGGGAACCCAACAGGUACUACCUGUUACCCGCAUCUGUUAAGGAUGUGAGGAGGAAGACGCAGUGAACUGAAACAUCUAAGUAGCUGCAG
This 214-nucleotide ribosomal RNA is filed under the name Streptococcus pseudopneumoniae. Its description in RNAcentral is "partial 23S ribosomal RNA". It matches the Rfam family "Bacterial large subunit ribosomal RNA", at positions 1 to 215 of the family's 2925-position model. Lineage: Bacteria; Bacillati; Bacillota; Bacilli; Lactobacillales; Streptococcaceae. The record is from RNAcentral.